This 64-nucleotide transfer RNA is filed under the name Cavia porcellus (domestic guinea pig). It matches the Rfam family "tRNA", at positions 1 to 62 of the family's 71-position model. From Rfam's summary of the family: Transfer RNA (tRNA) molecules are approximately 80 nucleotides in length. Their secondary structure includes four short double-helical elements and three loops (D, anti-codon, and T loops). Further hydrogen bonds mediate the characteristic L-shaped molecular structure. tRNAs have two regions of fundamental functional importance: the anti-codon, which is responsible for specific mRNA codon recognition, and the 3' end, to which the tRNAs corresponding amino acid is attached (by aminoacyl-tRNA synthetases). tRNAs cope with the degeneracy of the genetic code in two manners: having more than one tRNA (with a specific anti-codon) for a particular amino acid; and 'wobble' base-pairing, i.e. permitting non-standard base-pairing at the 3rd anti-codon position. Lineage: Eukaryota; Metazoa; Chordata; Mammalia; Rodentia; Caviidae. The record is from Rfam by way of RNAcentral.
AGGGAUUUAGCUCAGCGGCAUAAGCGCCUGCCUUGGAAGCAGGUGGUCGUGAGUUCGAUCCCUG